CCUACGGGAGGCAGCAGUGGGGAAUAUUGGACAAUGGGGGCAACCCUGAUCCAGCCAUGCCGCGUGUGUGAAGAAGGCCCUCGGGUUGUAAAGCACUUUCAGUGAGGAAGAACGCCUGGUGGUUAAUACCCAUCAGGAAAGACAUCACUCACAGAAGAAGCACCGGCUAACACCGUGCCAGCAGCCGCGGUAAUACGGAGGGUGCGAGCGUUAAUCGGAAUUACUGGGCGUAAAGCGCGCGUAGGUGGCUUGAUAAGCCGGUUGUGAAAGCCCCGGGCUCAACCUGGGAACGGCAUCCGGAACUGUCAAGCUAGAGUGCAGGAGAGGAAGGUAGAAUUCCCGGUGUAGCGGUGAAAUGCGUAGAGAUCGGGAGGAAUACCAGUGGCGAAGGCGGCCUUCUGGACUGACACUGACACUGAGGUGCGAAAGCGUGGGUAGCAAACAGGAUUAGAUACCCCAGUAGUC
This 465-nucleotide ribosomal RNA is filed under the name Vreelandella stevensii. Its description in RNAcentral is "partial 16S ribosomal RNA". It matches the Rfam family "Bacterial small subunit ribosomal RNA", at positions 338 to 795 of the family's 1533-position model. The record is from RNAcentral. Lineage: Bacteria; Pseudomonadati; Pseudomonadota; Gammaproteobacteria; Oceanospirillales; Halomonadaceae.